RNAcentral lists this transfer RNA (70 nucleotides) under Ecnomus latus. RNAcentral's name for it is "tRNA-Gly". Lineage: Eukaryota; Metazoa; Arthropoda; Insecta; Trichoptera; Ecnomidae. The record is from RNAcentral.
AUUUAUAUAAUAUAUUUAGUAUUUUUAACUUCCAAUUAAAUUGAUUAAUUUUUUAUAAUUAAUAUAAAUA